RNAcentral lists this ribosomal RNA (26 nucleotides) under fungal endophyte sp. AP489. RNAcentral describes it as "partial 28S ribosomal RNA". Lineage: Eukaryota; Fungi. The record is from RNAcentral.
GGUUGACCUCGGAUCAGCUAGGACUA